UAGGUGGUCUCUUAAAGAUAGUAUUUUUCUUGGCUCAUCUUUGGGGUGGCUCUGAGUAUCUAUGUAACAAUUUUCUUGAGGAUCUUGGCUCAGAUCGAUAUUACUAAUAUUUUGAGUCUCCAAGAAUUCUUUUGUCAUUGCCUUUUAGACAUCUGAAGCUUCCAAUUUGAGUAUUUGAGCACGAUGGCUUCGAGGGUCCCUUAGGUUAGCCCU
This 213-nucleotide long non-coding RNA is filed under the name Elaeis guineensis (African oil palm). RNAcentral describes it as "long non-coding RNA (EGUI_LNC047987)". The record is from RNAcentral. Lineage: Eukaryota; Viridiplantae; Streptophyta; Magnoliopsida; Arecales; Arecaceae.